AUGCAAGCUAUUCACCUCACCUCAACAUGCAACUAUUGCAUCUCAGCACUCAUUGCCACAUCAGCAGCUUACAAAAUAGCUGCUUUGUCCCCAUUAAUGAUUCUGUUUCCAUCCGUGCACCUGAACAACCUCCCUCCCAUCGAUAACUUUAGCACGACAUGUCAGCAGUUCCAACCAUUUAUUCCUAACAUCUUUCUUUCUGGGCGUCCACAAUACUCUUCGUCUACUCCAUCUGGUCCCACUCGUGGAAACAAAUCAACUCAUUGUGGCAGUUAUAGGCUGCCAUUUUCUCAUUCCACUGCUGGUUCUUAA
This 312-nucleotide ribosomal RNA is filed under the name Triticum aestivum (bread wheat). Its description in RNAcentral is "partial small subunit ribosomal RNA". Lineage: Eukaryota; Viridiplantae; Streptophyta; Magnoliopsida; Poales; Poaceae. The record is from RNAcentral.